CCCGCAACGAGCGCAACCCUUAUCCUUUGUUGCCAGCGAUUCGGUCGGGAACUCAUAGGAGACUGCCGGUGAUAAACCGGUUGAAGGUGGUUUAUGACGUUUGUCAUCAUGGUCCUUACGUCCAGGGCUACACAUUUGCUACAAUGGCGCAUACCAAGAGAAUUGACCUCGCGUGAUCAUGCGGACCUCUAACGUGCGUCGUAAUCCGGAUCGGAUUCUGCAACUCGACUCCGUGAAGUCGGAAUCUUUUUUAAUCGUACAUUAUAAUGCUACGGUGAAUACGUU
RNAcentral lists this ribosomal RNA (285 nucleotides) under Erwinia amylovora. RNAcentral's name for it is "partial 16S ribosomal RNA". It matches the Rfam family "Bacterial small subunit ribosomal RNA", at positions 1086 to 1372 of the family's 1533-position model. Lineage: Bacteria; Pseudomonadati; Pseudomonadota; Gammaproteobacteria; Enterobacterales; Erwiniaceae. The record is from RNAcentral.